CCCAGGGUCUUUUAUUUAGGUUGCUGGCAUAGGGAAAGACUAGAAAUGGAAAUAUGGAGGUGGAUGAUAGUAUGGUGGGGGCUUCUUAGGAGGAGGCUUUAGAGGAGGGAGCUUCUUUGGUGGUGGUUUCAUGACUGGCGGAGGCUUUAGAGGAGGGAGCUUCGGAGGAGGCUUUAGAGGAGGGAGCUUCUUUGGUGGUGGCUUGUAGGAGAGGGGGGUCUCCUCUUGGAUCUCAUCCUCAGUAGUAGCAGGGUGACCAGGGUACUUCCCAUAAGGAGGCAGUUUCUUAAAUGGUGGUUUCUCAUAUGGUGGUGGCUUGUAAAUUGGAGGUGGCUUCACAAUGGGGGGUUUCUCAUAUGGUGGUGGCUUGUAAAUUGGAGGUGGUUUCACAAUGGGGGGUUUCUCAUAUGGUGGUGGCUUGUAAAUUGGAGGUGGCUUCACAAUGGGGGGCUUCUCAUAUGGUGGCUUGUAAAUUGGAGGUGGCUUCACAAUGGGGGGCUUCUCAUAUGGUGGCUUGUAAAUUGGAGGUGGUUUCACAAUGGGGGGCUUCUCAUAUGGUGGCUUGUAAAUUGGAGGUGGUUUCACAAUGGGGGGCAUGGGGGGCUUCUCAUAUGGUGGCUUGUAAAUUGGAGGUGGUUUCAUAAUGGGGGGCAUCUCAUAUGGUGGCUUGUAAAUUGGAGGUGGUUUAAAAAUGGGGGGUUUCUCAUAUGGUGGAGGCUUGUAAAUUGGAGGUGGUUUCUCAAAUGGUGGAGGCAUGUAAAUUGGGGGUGGUUUCUCUAGUGGGGGCUUCUCAUAUCCAGCAUUUGAGCAAGCGGUGAGAGCCACCAGCC
RNAcentral lists this long non-coding RNA (830 nucleotides) under Amborella trichopoda. RNAcentral's name for it is "long non-coding RNA (ATRI_LNC000300)". The record is from RNAcentral. Lineage: Eukaryota; Viridiplantae; Streptophyta; Magnoliopsida; Amborellales; Amborellaceae.